CCCUUAGAUGUUCUGGGCCGCACGCGUGCUACACUGAGUGGAUCAGCGGGUCAGGUUGCGCGAAAGUGUUUCCUAAUCUUGAAAUCCGCUCGUGAUGGGGAUUGACGGUUGCAAUUUUCCGUCAUGAACGAGGAAUACCUUGUAAGCGCGGGUCAUCAUCCCGCGCUGAAUACGUCCCUGCCCUUUGUACACACCGCCCGUCGCUCCUACCGAUUGAGUGGUCCGGUGAGGCUUUGGGAUCUGAGCGGAAAGAGCGUUUCGCUGUUUCUGCCCGGAAAACUCAGUCGAACCUUAUCAUUUAGAGGAAGGUGAAGUCGUAACA
RNAcentral lists this ribosomal RNA (322 nucleotides) under uncultured eukaryote. Its description in RNAcentral is "partial 18S ribosomal RNA". It matches the Rfam family "Eukaryotic small subunit ribosomal RNA", at positions 1470 to 1796 of the family's 1831-position model. The record is from RNAcentral.